RNAcentral lists this ribosomal RNA (411 nucleotides) under uncultured Methanosaeta sp. RNAcentral's name for it is "bacterial SSU rRNA". It matches the Rfam family "Archaeal small subunit ribosomal RNA", at positions 922 to 1338 of the family's 1478-position model. The record is from RNAcentral. Lineage: Archaea; Methanobacteriati; Methanobacteriota; Methanomicrobia; Methanotrichales; Methanotrichaceae.
CGACCGGGGCGACAGCAAUAUGAAGGUCAGGCUGAAGACCUUACCCGAUUAGCUGAGAGGUGGUGCAUGGCCGUCGUCAGUUCGUACUGUGAAGCAUCCUGUUAAGUCAGGCAACGAGCGAGACCCACGUCCACAGUUGCCAGCAUACCCUCCGGGGUGAUGGGUACACUGUGGAGACCGCCGCUGCUAAAGCGGAGGAAGGAGUGGGCAACGGUAGGUCAGUAUGCCCCGAAUCUCCCGGGCUACACGCGGGCUACAAUGGUUGGUACAAUGGGCAUCUACCCCGAAAGGGGAAGGAAAUCUCUUAAAGCCAAUCGUAGUUCGGAUUGAGGGCUGCAACCCGCCCUCAUGAAGCUGGAAUCCGUAGUAAUCGCGUUUCAACAGAACGCGGUGAAUACGUCCCUGCUCCUU